Molecule: ribosomal RNA, 445 nt
Filed under: uncultured bacterium
Lineage: Bacteria
Description: bacterial SSU rRNA
Rfam family: Bacterial small subunit ribosomal RNA
Source: RNAcentral
GUGAGGAAUAUUGGUCAAUGGACGAGAGUCUGAACCAGCCAAGUCGCGUGCAGGAAGAAUGUCCUAUGGAUUGUAAACUGCUUUUGCAGGGGAAUAAAGUGCAUCACGUGUGAUGUUUUGUAUGUACUCUGCGAAUAAGGAUCGGCUAACUCCGUGCCAGCAGCCGCGGUAAUACGGAGGAUCCGAGCGUUAUCCGGAUUUAUUGGGUUUAAAGGGUGCGUAGGCGGGAUAAUAAGUCAGUGGUGAAAGUUUGCAGCUUAACUGUAAAAUUGCCGUUGAAACUGUUAUUCUUGAGAGUAGAUAAGGUAGGCGGAAUGUGUUGUGUAGCGGUGAAAUGCAUAGAUAUAACACAGAACCCCGAUUGCGAAGGCAGCUUACCGGGCUACAUCUGACGCUGAUGCACGAAAGCGUGGGGAUCAAACAGGAUUAGAAACCCCAGUAGUCC